UGGCGGACGGGUGAGUAACGCGUAAAGAACUUGCCCUUUAGACUGGGAUAACAGAGGGAAACUUCUGAUAAUACUGGAUAAGUUAGUAUAUCGCAUGAUAUACAAAUGAAAGCUACGGCACUAAAGGAGAGCUUUGCGUCCUAUUAGCUAGUUGGUAAGGUAAGAGCUUACCAAGGCGAUGAUAGGUAGCCGGCCUGAGAGGGUGGACGGCCACAAGGGGACUGAGACACGGCCCAGACUCCUACGGGAGGCAGCAGGA
RNAcentral lists this ribosomal RNA (259 nucleotides) under uncultured Leptotrichia sp. RNAcentral describes it as "partial 16S ribosomal RNA". It matches the Rfam family "Bacterial small subunit ribosomal RNA", at positions 96 to 354 of the family's 1533-position model. The record is from RNAcentral. Lineage: Bacteria; Fusobacteriati; Fusobacteriota; Fusobacteriia; Fusobacteriales; Leptotrichiaceae.